GCGGGUUGCCUCAAACGGCCGGGGGGGGGGGGGGACUACUUUCUUUCGAGCCGAGGAAGGGAGGCGCGCACCACUUGCGGAGAGAGGCUGCUUGUUUGCUUUAGCUUUGCAACAGUGCUUCUUCUCCCAUGCAUCGGAAGGGGGGCGGGGGUAGGGAGAAACAGCUUGGGGCUGGUGGUUUUCCCAGCUCGGAGAAGCUCCCGAGUGACCCCGAAGCAAAGUGGCCCUUGCCAAAGUCCGACGCUGGGCCAGCACUUGGACCAAAGUGACUGCGCUCAGACGCCCCUCCCCUUCCCAAACUGCGCCUUUCCCGCCUUCGCCAGGAACUCUUGUCUGCAGAGCCGCGAGACGCUGGGGCGCGAGGCGGCUGGCGACUUUGCUGCUGAGCUGAAACUGCUAAUUUCUGUGACCAGCUUUUUUUCUUAGCUGUGAUCUGGAUGAAUGAGUAGCUGUCUCACAGAGAUGACAAAAAUAAACUCUAAUCCCCCCAAAAAUUUCCACUACAUCUUUCUCAUGCAUAGAUUUAUGAUCUUCAGACACCCAGUGCAAUAUGCAAACUUUUUUGUCUGAAUGGAAUGCAGCUGGAUUCCACAUUACACAAUAUGUGUGUGUGUGUUUUGUGCCUCUUCUAUUCAUGUGGUGGAAAUGUCUCAUCUCAGUACAUGAAAUAUUGUUGCACACACAUCCCAACUGUCUGUGUUAUUAGUUUGACAGGGUACAUCCUCCGUUCAUGCAUAUGCGAAGGGAAGAGAUAGAAGGAGCAGAGGUAAAGUGAGGCUAGUGCAUAGUAUUAGUAGUAUAACAGUUCCUUUUACUGUGGUUCAUUUGCCCUAUCGACGAUUUAUGCUCUUGUUUGAAAGCAUAUUUUCACUGUCAUUUUGUCUGGCUAGACAACCGUCUCUGUACUUCACUGUCAGCUGCUCAACAGAUAAGGGUUCAGAAGUCACUUUUUAUUGUCAGAUUAGCAUAUUGUCAGAUUUGUCUUUCAUUUUAGAGACUACAGUGCAAGAAGCCUGAAUCAAACAGCAAGAAAGCAAUUUCUCUUGAACAAAUAUAUACUGACAACUUUUUGGCUUGAUCCAGGAACUUGCCCCAUUCAUUGUUUGGGCCAGUUGUUGGUAUCGCAUUGCAAAACUGGGUCACAGUUAUUUGAAAACAUUUUGGUAUAUUCCUUUCACCAAUGAACAAUGGGAUAGAGGGCAAGUUCUCCUCACUUUAUCCCAUGAUAUAUUGCACCCUCACAUUUAUAGCGCUGUUCUUCUGUUGUCAGAACUCCAAUUGCCCAAAAAGAAAGGCAUGACCUUGAAUGAAAGGAGACUGGAAAGCAGCACAUCAUGAAGUUGUAAGCUGGUGUGAAAUCCUAAAGAUUCUAAACUAAUAAGCUUCUUGUAAUUAAAAUGCGUGCCAGGGGGUUGAUCUUGAACACUUGCCCUUAUUUUCUUCCUCCUUGAUAGCAAAAGAAGGCAAAAGCAUCUGCUUAUAAAAAGGAAAUAAAAUGGAAGUUGUACAGGAAAUGGGAAGACCCAUCUUGCAGUAUGACAACUGAAAAGGAAAUAAAAUGUAAAUGAGUUAUGCCAGGUGAUUCGAAUUAUUCUGCAUUUCUUGUAGUCUUCUCUACUAUUUAAGUGCCUUUCUGUUUUAUGUUUCAUGACUUAGUCCUUUGCAUUAACACCCAACAGGAUUGAUAAGACAUUUUUUUCAGAUGGGGAGGGGAAGAUCUGAGAAAUCCAGUCCUUGAAACCCACAUUCAGGCUCAUUCCGCACAUGCAGAAUAAUGCACUUUCAAACUGCUUUCAGUGCUCUUUGAAGCUGUGCGGAAUGGCAAAAUCCACUUGCAAACAGUUGUGAAAGUGGUUUGAAAACUCAUUAUUUUGCGUGUGCAGAAGGGGCCAUAAACUCCACAAUGAUCCUUUAUAGAUCUUUAUUGAAGACCACAAGAACUAGAAUCUGAAGCAAGAUGGACAUAAUUCCAUGCACCGUGUUAUUUUUGUUGCUUCCUAAAUUUGGUGGUGUGCUGACAAUAAUUUCAGAGUUCUCAACAUAACUCAAAAAGAGUUUCAUCCCUCAAAAAAUCAUUAGAUUUAGAAGAUCAUAAUUCUACUUAGUAUUGCAUAAGAGCAUGGAAAGCUCCUUUGAACAUAUUCUAAGGAAAUAUAUAUACUGUGGGAGAAAGUAUACUGUGAAAUUUUUAUACACAAACAUUUCAACAUCAGCAGCUGUGGACUGUUACCAUACUCUAGCAUCUGGGAAACAUUUUUUUCUGUCAUUCUAGUACUGCUGAACUUUACUGUAUUAUUUUCUUUUAUGACUGUAAAUAAUCCCAGAGGGUAUUUUGUGCAGUUCUUCAUUAAAUUAUUUGUCACAGAAGCCUAUGCCACUCUAAGUUGCAACAAGAUGCCUUUGGAGGUUUUGUCAGACUCAAAACUAUUUUAAUUGCAUUCUCAGUACUAACAACUAGUACCAUUAUGCAUACUGGUAGGAAAUAAUUGUGUUGUUUGCUAUCCAUACAGUUCCCAAAGUCUUGUUGUAUAUAUAUAGUAUUCGCAAUUGAUUGAUAUUCAUUGUCAUUGCAAGAUACAAUAUACUUGAAUGUGAAGUCUGUAUUUCUGACAUUGGUCCUGUUGCUUCCCUUUAGAGCAAUUUUUAUGAAGUGAAACCAGUCAGGCAUUAAAAUUCCACAAAGUUUAAUUUGCCUAUAUUUAUAGCAAGAGAAAAAAAUGGGGGUAGCAGCUCUGUUACUGUACAAAAAGCAGAGGGUUGGAUCCUAUUUCUUAUCCCACAGAUGACUGCCAACAUUCAAUAUUACUUGCAUGUCAACCCUUCAUAUUAGCUACUGGUCUGUUUGCUUUCAACUUAAAGAUACGCCAUUCCUUCUUAGAGGUUUUGUGAGAUGGCAUUCUUUUGGAAUUCAGAAACUUGUGAACUGACUUUUUUUUGCUUGCUGUACUACUAGUGAUAUUAUUUAGAAAGUAUGUAUUCUGCUCUAUGACUAUCAGUAUGUGAUAUAACUUGGUGUUCUCAAACAAAAAAAAUCUCAGCAA
Sphaerodactylus townsendi is the source of this 3041-nucleotide long non-coding RNA. RefSeq lists it as uncharacterized. The record is from RefSeq and is a predicted model, not a curated record. Lineage: Eukaryota; Metazoa; Chordata; Lepidosauria; Squamata; Sphaerodactylidae. The transcript has 2 exons.